This 468-nucleotide ribosomal RNA is filed under the name uncultured bacterium. RNAcentral's name for it is "partial 16S ribosomal RNA". It matches the Rfam family "Bacterial small subunit ribosomal RNA", at positions 28 to 507 of the family's 1533-position model. The record is from RNAcentral.
GACGAACGCUGGCGGCGUGCUUAACACAUGCAAGUCGAACGGAAAGGCCCUGCUUUUGUGGGGUGCUCGAGUGGCGAACGGGUGAGUAACACGUGAGUAACCUGCCCUUGACUUUGGGAUAACUUCAGGAAACUGGGGCUAAUACCGGAUAGGAGCUCCUGCUGCAUGGUGGGGGUUGGAAAGUUUCGGCGGUUGGGGAUGGACUCGCGGCUUAUCAGCUUGUUGGUGGGGUAGUGGCUUACCAAGGCUUUGACGGGUAGCCGGCCUGAGAGGGUGACCGGCCACAUUGGGACUGAGAUGCGGCCCAGACUCCUACGGGAGGCAGCAGUGGGGAAGAUUGCACAAUGGGCGGAAGCCUGAUGCAGCCACGCCGCGUGCGGGAUGACGGCCUUCGGGUUGUAAACCGCUUUCGCCUGUGACGAAGCGUGAGUGACGGUAAUGGGUAAAGAAGCACCGGCUAACUACGUG